RNAcentral lists this ribosomal RNA (955 nucleotides) under uncultured bacterium. RNAcentral describes it as "bacterial SSU rRNA". It matches the Rfam family "Bacterial small subunit ribosomal RNA", at positions 340 to 1285 of the family's 1533-position model. The record is from RNAcentral.
UACGGGAGGCAGCAGUGGGGAAUUUUGGGCAAUGGGCGAAAGCCUGACCCAGCAACGCCGCGUGAAGGAUGAAAUCCCUCGGGAUGUAAACUUCGCAAGAACGGGAAGAAUAAGUAGGGGACAAUACCCCCUAUGAUGACGGUACCGUUUGUAAGCUCCGGCUAACUCCGUGCCAGCAGCCGCGGCAAUACGGGGGGAGCAAGCGUUGUUCGGAUUUACUGGGCGUAAAGGGCGCGUAGGCGGUCAGCACAAGUCAAUUGUGAAAUCUCCGAGCUUAACUCGGAAAGGUCAACUGAAACUGUGCGACUAGAGUGCGGAAGGGGCAACUGGAAUUCUUGGUGUAGCGGUGAAAUGCGUAGAUAUCAAGAGGAACACCUGCGGCGAAGGCGGGUCGCUGGGCCGACACUGACGCUGAAGCGCGAAAGCCAGGGGAGCGAACGGGAUUAGAUACCCCGGUAGUCCUGGCCUUAAACGAUGAAUGCUUGGUGUCUGGGGUUAUAAAGUCCCCGGGUGCCGUCGCUAACGCUUUAAGCAUUCCGCCUGGGGAGUACGGUCGCAAGACUGAAACUCAAAGGAAUUGACGGGGACCCGCACAAGCGGUGGAGCAUGUGGUUUAAUUCGACGCAACGCGAAGAACCUUACCUGGGCUAGAAUGCCUCUGACAACCCUAGAGAUAGGGCCUCCAAGGUAAAACUUGGCAGAGUGCAAGGUGCUGCAUGGCUGUCGUCAGCUCGUGUCGUGAGAUGUUGGGUUAAGUCCCGCAACGAGCGCAACCCUUAUCUUUAGUUGCCAGCAUUAAGUUGGGCACUCUAGAGAGACUGCCGUUGACAAAACGGAGGAAGGUGGGGAUGACGUCAAGUCCUCAUGGCCUUUAUGUCCAGGGCUACACACGUGCUACAAUGGCCGGUACAAACCGCCGCAAACUCGCAAGAGGGAGCCAAUCGGAAAAAGCCGG